Molecule: long non-coding RNA, 1944 nt
Organism: Lingula anatina
Lineage: Eukaryota; Metazoa; Brachiopoda; Lingulata; Lingulida; Lingulidae
Source: RefSeq, a predicted model, not a curated record
AAGUUGCACAACAAAGUCGAAUGGAGGCCAAGCGUCUUCAAUCGAAAUGGAUCGCCUGUAAGUAUAUUUAUUUUCACGCACUGUCCAAAGGGCGAUCCAGUGAUGAUAUAUGGACACUGAAGAAACCACAGCUAAGCUCGCCAGAAGUGCCUAAGCACAUAUAUUGGAAUCAAGGCUAAUGGCAGAGUUUCACUUUCUGACGCAAGGAAAAGAAAAGCGCUACGUGUGAUUUAGACAAAAGGGAGUUAGGACAGUAAGUCUUAUGCCAAAACAGUUUGUGUCAUGUUGCACUUGAAACUGCCUAGUCUACAUUGUGUCCUUUGGUGAAGUCAGAGACACUGUGAAGAAUGAUUGUGGCAUCAAGAUACACCUUUUUCUCAGCUGCUAGGAUGCUGUGUGAAGAGGAGGGGUAAGUAUACGGUGAGUAUGAGCUUCCACUGUACACUGUGUAACUAGUCUUUUUCAUGGUAGCUAGAAAUUCAAAAAGACUACUGCCUUAUGUCAUGCAUUAGUAUUAUAUCUCCAGCCACUUUUUCUAUGUCAACACAUGUCAUCUUUUAUUAUAUAUUUAAGUUACAGAAAUGGGGAUUCCUUGUUGUUAUUAGAUUUUUUGUUAAAGGUUUGCAGACGGUUUUGAUUUUUGUCAGUAAUGCUUGUUAACCAAUUGUUUUUUCAUAAAAAAAUGCAAAAUAAUAUAAUAAUAAUUAUAAUAAUUGUAUAGUAACAGAAUCAGGUUAAAGAUAUGUAUUAAUCACCUAUGUUGUUUCCUCUCUCUCAAGACCAGAAGGACAAACUCAUCUGAUGAGGUGCUCUGCUUUCUGUGAUCUUCUUGGCUGAGAUAUGGUAAAUGCAAUUACUCUAAAGACUAGGAAAGUGGAAGGAAGACACUGAACUUCAAAUUUACCAAGUAAGUUGAGAAGAAUUCCAGAGCCACACAGCAUACUGCAGUGUCAGCAAGAAAGAUCUCAUGGGUUCCAUGUGGACAUGAUGGACAUGUUAAGUUUGACUAGUUGAUGAGAGAAAAAAAAGGGAAUAGGAACACUUUUGCACCUACCCACAUUACUUUCAAAACAACUGAGAUUAGUUACAGGGCAGUGGCAACUUCACACUUUUAUUGAUGGAUUCUGAAGACCAUUACCAGAUGUAUAAUAAUCAAAUAUCAUCAGAAAUGAAGGGCACGUUAAUUAUUCCAAAGAGUGAAAGUAGUACAAAUCAAAGGAAAAUAUUUUGAUGGUAAUCAAUAUGAGCUCACUCAGAGGUCACUCGCAGGGGCCAGUCUUAACAGAAUUGACAAGGUUAUCAUCCCUGUGCUUGGCUUUAUUAAGACAUGUCAUGUAGGUGGUGAUGGAGUUAACUUUUGGAUAAUAUAUAAGGAAUUAUCUGAAUCAAUCAUCUGCUGCUAAUGUUAUACAUUCAUUAGUCACUUCUAGGCUGGGAUGUCCAGAUGAUAGGAUUAAAAGAUAACAAUGCAUCCAGAAUAUUUCAGAACAGCUUUUCAUGUAACAGCCUAGAAACUUGUCACAUUAUUCCAGUUUUAAAGCAGCUGCAUUGGUUAUCAGAUAGGGCUAGAAUUUUAAAAUAUUUAGUUUUUACACGUUGCUUUCUCUAAUGUAGCUCCAGCAUAUAUAACUGAUCUGGUAAAAAAUCAUAACUUUUACUGAAAAUUGCCAUUAUAGCAGGGUAAAAAAAUAUAUGGUGACAUGUAAUUUUGUAUAGCUUCACUGUUGGAGUAGAACAAGGUGUCAAUUUACUGAAGGCAGAUAGAAACAGAAAUCUCUUAUAAGGAAUUAAACACACAUUUUUAAAGAUGUUUUAUUGCUGAAUUUUGUUCAAUUUUUAAAAUAUACAUUAUGUAAGGGAAGUAUUGGGUCUUUUAAUUACUGCUUAGUCAAACGUUUUAACAUUUAUAAUUAAUAUAAUAUAUAUAACUGUAAUAUAUAAAUA